This 445-nucleotide ribosomal RNA is filed under the name uncultured Arthrobacter sp. Its description in RNAcentral is "bacterial SSU rRNA". It matches the Rfam family "Bacterial small subunit ribosomal RNA", at positions 338 to 795 of the family's 1533-position model. Lineage: Bacteria; Bacillati; Actinomycetota; Actinomycetes; Micrococcales; Micrococcaceae. The record is from RNAcentral.
CCUACGGGGGGCAGCAGUGGGGAAUAUUGCACAAUGGGCGAAAGCCUGAUGCAGCGACGCCGCGUGAGGGAUGACGGCCUUCGGGUUGUAAACCUCUUUCAGCAGGGAAGAAGCGAAAGUGACGGUACCUGCAGAAGAAGCGCCGGCUAACUACGUGCCAGCAGCCGCGGUAAUACGUAGGGCGCAAGCGUUGUCCGGAAUUAUUGGGCGUAAAGAGCUCGUAGGCGGUUUGUCGCGUCUGCUGUGAAAGCCCGGGGCUCAACCCCGGGUCUGCAGUGGGUACGGGCAGACUAGAGUGCAGUAGGGGAGACUGGAAUUCCUGGUGUAGCGGUGAAAUGCGCAGAUAUCAGGAGGAACACCGAUGGCGAAGGCAGGUCUCUGGGCUGUAACUGACGCUGAGGAGCGAAAGCAUGGGGAGCGAACAGGAUUAGAUACCCUGGUAGUC